GUGGGGAAUAUUGGACAAUGGGGGGAACCCUGAUCCAGCCAUGCCGCGUGUGUGAAGAAGGCCUUUUGGUUGUAAAGCACUUUAAGCGAGGAGGAGGCUACCGAGAUUAAUACUCUUGGAUAGUGGACGUUACUCGCAGAAUAAGCACCGGCUAACUCUGUGCCAGCAGCCGCGGUAAUACGAAGGGUGCAAGCGUUAAUCGGAUUUACUGGGCGUAAAGCGCGCGUAGGUGGCCAAUUAAGUCAAAUGUGAAAUCCCCGAGCUUAACUUGGGAAUUGCAUGCGAUACUGGUUGGCUAGAGUAUGGGAGAGGAUGGUAGAAUUCCAGGUGUAGCGGUGAAAUGCGUAGAGAUCUGGAGGAAUACCGAUGGCGAAGGCAGCCAUCUGGCCUAAUACUGACACUGAGGUGCGAAAGCAUGGGGAGCAAACAGGAUUAGAAACCCUGGUAGUCC
RNAcentral lists this ribosomal RNA (451 nucleotides) under uncultured bacterium. Its description in RNAcentral is "partial 16S ribosomal RNA". It matches the Rfam family "Bacterial small subunit ribosomal RNA", at positions 354 to 796 of the family's 1533-position model. The record is from RNAcentral.